GACGUAGGUGGCGAGCGUUGUUCGGAAUCACUGGGCAUAAAGCGCGCGUAGGCGGCUAGGUAAGUCGGAUGUGAAAUACCUCGGCUCAACCGAGGAACUGCGUCCGAUACUGCCUGGCUUGAGGUCCGGAGGGGAGAGUGGAAUUCCCGGUGGAGCGGUGAAAUGCGUAGAGAUCGGGAAGAACGCCGGCGGCGAAAGCGACUCUCUGGUCGGAAUCUGACGCUGAGGCGCGAAAGCUAGGGGAGCAAACGGG
Molecule: ribosomal RNA, 253 nt
Filed under: uncultured bacterium
Lineage: Bacteria
Description: partial 16S ribosomal RNA
Rfam family: Bacterial small subunit ribosomal RNA
Source: RNAcentral